This 72-nucleotide transfer RNA is filed under the name Candidatus Pacearchaeota archaeon. RNAcentral's name for it is "tRNA-Phe". It matches the Rfam family "tRNA". From Rfam's summary of the family: Transfer RNA (tRNA) molecules are approximately 80 nucleotides in length. Their secondary structure includes four short double-helical elements and three loops (D, anti-codon, and T loops). The record is from RNAcentral. Lineage: Archaea; Nanobdellati.
GGGGCAGUAGCUCAGGGGGAGAGCACUACGCUGAAGACGUAGGAGUCGUGAGUUCGAAUCUCACCUGCCCCA